GAGGAAAGUCCGGGCUCUAUUUAUAAAUAUAUAGCUUUAUAAAAUAAAGUGUAGGUAACUAUGAGGAUAGUGCCACAGAAAUAUACCGCCUGAAUUUUAUAGGUAAGGGUGCAAUGGUUCGGUAAGAGCGUACCAGAGAUAUUGUUAAAGUAUUUGCUAGGUAAACCCCAUAUUGGAGCAAAGAGGUUACAAGAUAUAUAAUAAGUACUAUUUUUAUAAUUUUUAUAUAUACUUUAUUUUAGUAAUCAUUAAUACCGCAUAAAGUAUUUUAUUUUACUUCAGAUUAAUAAUUACCCUUUUCAUAUUUAGUUGAUUUAAUUAAUUUUUUGAAAAGAACUAAACCCGGCUUAU
RNAcentral lists this RNase P RNA (351 nucleotides) under Dictyomenia sonderi. RNAcentral describes it as "rnpB". The stretch from base 2 to 178 matches the Rfam family "Bacterial RNase P class A", at positions 44 to 222 of the family's 367-position model. From Rfam's summary of the family: Ribonuclease P (RNase P) is a ubiquitous endoribonuclease, found in archaea, bacteria and eukarya as well as chloroplasts and mitochondria. Its best characterised activity is the generation of mature 5'-ends of tRNAs by cleaving the 5'-leader elements of precursor-tRNAs. Lineage: Eukaryota; Rhodophyta; Florideophyceae; Ceramiales; Rhodomelaceae. The record is from RNAcentral.